AAAAGUCUUCACAUCACAUGCGGUUAGGAACAACAUCAGGAAGCUGAAGGGUACAACACUUUUCAGCAUUAAGACGCUGACUUGGACUCAACCUGGACUCGAGUCCCAGAUUUGCUGACUUUCUGCUCUACAUAAUCGAAGAAGACUUGGAAGAAGAAGAAGAAGAAGAAACCUUGGAAAGACUUGAUACAUUCCUCAAAAGCAAAGAUUAAAAACGAAGUGCAGCACUCUCCCGAACCCUGAGACUACCUGUAGGAGGUGGUGUGAGUUCAGCUGCACUGGAACUGUGCUGCAUUUCCUGUGAAAGUGACUCAUACUCAGGUAUGUACGUAUUCAGG
Molecule: long non-coding RNA, 338 nt
Organism: Hemibagrus wyckioides
Lineage: Eukaryota; Metazoa; Chordata; Actinopteri; Siluriformes; Bagridae
Exons: 3
Source: RefSeq, a predicted model, not a curated record